GCCGGUGUAGCUCAGGGGUAGAGUACUUCCUUGGUAAGGAAGGGGUCACGGGUUCAAAUCCCGUCAUUGGCUC
Molecule: transfer RNA, 73 nt
Filed under: Flavobacterium okayamense
Lineage: Bacteria; Pseudomonadati; Bacteroidota; Flavobacteriia; Flavobacteriales; Flavobacteriaceae
Description: tRNA-Thr
Rfam family: tRNA
About the family: Transfer RNA (tRNA) molecules are approximately 80 nucleotides in length.
Source: RNAcentral